RNAcentral lists this long non-coding RNA (632 nucleotides) under Homo sapiens (human). Its description in RNAcentral is "non-protein coding lnc-ETFBKMT-3:1". Lineage: Eukaryota; Metazoa; Chordata; Mammalia; Primates; Hominidae. The record is from RNAcentral.
GGAGGCUGAAGUGGGAGGGAGGAUCACUUGAGCCUGGGAGGCAGAGGCUGCAGUGAGCUAUGAUCGUGCCACUGUACCCCAGCCUGGGUGAGAGAGUCCCUAUCUCAAAAAAAUAAAACCAAAAAACUACUGGGGCCACGUCAGAACUGAAAGAGUUCUGCAGGCCCUUCAGAGAAAGGAGAAGUGAGAGUCAAUUAACCUCAAGAUUACAUUUAAAAGCAUUUUCCUCUUUAGUAUAGAGGUGUGUUAAAAAAAAAAAAAGCAUUUAUACGAGGUAUGUGAGGUAUGUUAGUGAAACAGCAAAAACCUAAUUAUAUCCUAAAUAACUGGCACGCUCUAGGUUACAAAUAGCAAUUUGUAAAAGACCCAUUGAAUGAACACAUUAAACAGCAGGUUGCUUAUUCCUUCUCAAACCGCACUAAAAAAUUCCUCUCUCGCAUGUGUAGGUCCCAGAGCCAGACAGUUAUGAGAUGAUGGUGCCCCCUGGUGGCCAAUGUGGGGAGCCACCCGGCCAGGCGUGCUUCCUGGCUUUGUGCCAGCCAUGCCUUUAUUCUUUGGUUGGUUGGUUGGUUGGUUGGUUAGUUGGUUGGUUGGUUGGCUGGUUGAGACAGAGUCUUGCUCUGUCGCCCAGG